This 253-nucleotide ribosomal RNA is filed under the name uncultured bacterium. Its description in RNAcentral is "partial 16S ribosomal RNA". It matches the Rfam family "Bacterial small subunit ribosomal RNA", at positions 524 to 776 of the family's 1533-position model. The record is from RNAcentral.
UACAGAGGUCUCAAGCGUUGUUCGGAUUCAUUGGGCGUAAAGGGUGCGUAGGCGGCGCGGUAAGUCGGGUGUGAAAUCUCGGAGCUUAACUCCGAAACUGCAUUCGAUACUGCCGUGCUUGAGGACUGGAGAGGAGACUGGAAUUUACGGUGUAGCGGUGAAAUGCGUAGAUAUCGUAAGGAAGGCCGGUGGCGAAAGCGAGCCUCUGGACAGUUACUGACGCUGAGACGCGAAAGCGUGGGGAGCGAACCGG